UACGUAGGUGGCAAGCGAUACUCGGAACCACUAGGCGUAAAGCGCAGGUAGGCGGUUUGAUAAGUCUGUUGUGAAAGCUCCCGGCUUAACUGGGAGAGGUCAACGGAAACUGUCAGGCUAGAGUGUGGUAGAGGUAGCUGGAAUUCCCGGUGUAGCGGUGAAAUGCGUAGAUAUCGGGAGGAAUACCUAUGGCGAAAGCAGGCUACUGGACCAUCACUGACGCUGAUCUGCGAAAGCUAGGGGAGCAAACAGG
This 253-nucleotide ribosomal RNA is filed under the name uncultured bacterium. RNAcentral describes it as "partial 16S ribosomal RNA". It matches the Rfam family "Bacterial small subunit ribosomal RNA", at positions 524 to 776 of the family's 1533-position model. The record is from RNAcentral.